RNAcentral lists this ribosomal RNA (492 nucleotides) under uncultured bacterium. RNAcentral describes it as "partial 16S ribosomal RNA". It matches the Rfam family "Bacterial small subunit ribosomal RNA", at positions 29 to 507 of the family's 1533-position model. The record is from RNAcentral.
AGUGAACGCUGGCGGUAGGCCUAACACAUGCAAGUCGAACGGCAGCACAGUAAGAGCUUGCUCUUACGGGUGGCGAGUGGCGGACGGGUGAGGAAUACAUCGGAAUCUACUUUUUCGUGGGGGAUAACGUAGGGAAACUUACGCUAAUACCGCAUACGACCUACGGGUGAAAGCAUGGGAUCUUCGGACCUUGCGCGAUUGAAUGAGCCGAUGUCGGAUUAGCUAGUUGGCGGGGUAAAGGCCAACCAAGGCGACGAUCCGUAGCCGGUGUGAGAGGAUGAUAGGCCACACUGGAACGUAGCCGCGCACCAGACGCCUGCGAGAGGGAGCAGUGUGGAAUAGUAGACAAUGGGGGGAAGCCUUGUCCAGUCGGACCACGUGGGAGAAGGAGGCCCUCGGUUUGUAAAGCCCGUUUUUGGGGAAAGAAAAGCAGUAGGUUAAUACCCCGCUGCUCUGACGGUAACCAAAGAAGAAGCACCGGCUAACUACGUG